GCCUGGGUGGCUCAGUCGGUUAAGCGUCCGACUUCAGCUCAGGUCAUGAUCUCGCGGUCUGCGGGUUCGAGCCCCGCGUCGGGCU
RNAcentral lists this transfer RNA (85 nucleotides) under Felis catus (domestic cat). It matches the Rfam family "tRNA". From Rfam's summary of the family: Transfer RNA (tRNA) molecules are approximately 80 nucleotides in length. Their secondary structure includes four short double-helical elements and three loops (D, anti-codon, and T loops). Further hydrogen bonds mediate the characteristic L-shaped molecular structure. tRNAs have two regions of fundamental functional importance: the anti-codon, which is responsible for specific mRNA codon recognition, and the 3' end, to which the tRNAs corresponding amino acid is attached (by aminoacyl-tRNA synthetases). tRNAs cope with the degeneracy of the genetic code in two manners: having more than one tRNA (with a specific anti-codon) for a particular amino acid; and 'wobble' base-pairing, i.e. permitting non-standard base-pairing at the 3rd anti-codon position. The record is from Rfam by way of RNAcentral. Lineage: Eukaryota; Metazoa; Chordata; Mammalia; Carnivora; Felidae.